GACGAACGCUGGCGGCGUGCUUAACACAUGCCAGUCGAACGGAAAGGCCCUGCUUUUGUGGGGUGCUCGAGUGGCGAACGGGUGAGUAACACGUGAGUAACCUGCCCUUGACUUUGGGAUAACUUCAGGAAACUGGGGCUAAUACCGGAUAGGAGCUCCUGCUGCAUGGUGGGGGUUGGAACGUUUAGGCGGUUGGGGGUGGACUCGCGGCUUAUCAGCUUGUUGGUGGGGUAGUGGCUUACCAAGGCUUUGACGGGUAGCCGGCCUGAGAGGGUGACCGGGCACAUGGGGACUGAGAGAGGGACCAGAGUGGAACGGGAGGCAGUAGUGGGGAGUCUUGUACAGUGGGGGGGAGUGUGUGGAGGCAGUGCUCGGAGUGUGAUGCAGUCCUUGGGGGUGGAAAGCGCAGUAGCCUAAGACGAAGCUGGAGUGACGGUAACGGGUAAAGAAGCACCGGCUAACUACGUG
RNAcentral lists this ribosomal RNA (468 nucleotides) under uncultured bacterium. RNAcentral describes it as "partial 16S ribosomal RNA". It matches the Rfam family "Bacterial small subunit ribosomal RNA", at positions 28 to 507 of the family's 1533-position model. The record is from RNAcentral.